RNAcentral lists this long non-coding RNA (850 nucleotides) under Felis catus (domestic cat). Its description in RNAcentral is "lncRNA (ENSFCAG00000051410.1)". The record is from RNAcentral. Lineage: Eukaryota; Metazoa; Chordata; Mammalia; Carnivora; Felidae.
AUUAUACCUACUGUAGUCUCGAUCUUUUUCUUAAUUGGUUUCAACCUUUAAUUGAGGUAAUUGACUUCCUUCCACAGGUAUAGGGACUUCUGGGAAACAAACAGGUAGUUGAGAGCAGGUUGUCAACACAAGCUCCUUUCAGAUCGACAGAGCUCCAGUUUGGGCUGCUGUGCCUCGUAGGCACACAUGGUAGGCAUUUGCCUGUGGUCACCUACAUCCACUUCACCCUUCUUAAGGAUACACGUAAAAUUCAAGAUAGCUCUGGCUCUUAGCCAUUCAUGCUUGGAUGACAAGGAAGAGAUGAACCAUGCUGCUGUCUGAGCAAUUGGUGCAGGAAGCAAGCAUCACCGAGGAAAUCAGAGCUUCUCUGGGAAAGGCAUUACUGUUUUCGCUUGAUCAAUGACACCAGAGUCCAUCUGGGCAGCACUAAAAUUUCCCUACUUUUUCCUACCCCCAUGGGAGCACCGAUCACAAUGUCUUUCCUGCAGUGAAGGUGUUCAUCAUGCACAAGGAUGGGAAUGAUGACAGAAAUGAUCACUUUUGCAACAAGAUUUCUGGAAGAAUUUGACCUUGAUGCUGAAGGUAUAUCAAUCAUCCUCAGGAUGAUGGAGCAGGAAGAGAAAGAGCCUCUUCCCUUGGUGGCAUUUUAAGGUGCUGUAUGAGCCCUGAUUUGCUUAAACCAAGACUUCAUUUCACAUGGAGUAAAUAAGUCCCUCCUUUGGGUAAGUCCUCAUUCAUCAGGUUUUAUGGUACUUGUGCAAAACCUAAUCCUAACAUAUCUCAAUUUAUGAAUCAAUGUCCAUAGCAUAUGGCAAAUGUAUGCUAAAAUAAAUUUCAGUAGGGUAGUUCA